This is a non-coding RNA of Lupinus albus (white lupine), 2948 nucleotides long. The record is from the annotation of a GenBank genome assembly. Lineage: Eukaryota; Viridiplantae; Streptophyta; Magnoliopsida; Fabales; Fabaceae.
GCCUAAACUAAAUUGAAGUAGAUUCGUAGCAAGUCGGCAAAUGUCCUUAGUGACCUUCGGGAAGGUAUUAACCAAUUCUUUGACUAACCAUCCUCUUAGUUAUAGCACCAGACGAUUAGACGCAAGGAAUUAAAUCAGCAAAUAGAUUAUGAGACUCUUCUUCCUUUUGUAGCCCCGGUACAUCUCAUUGUCUGGUAUUCCGUAUGUCUCCUUGUCUCUUGGAAAAGCUUCAAAUCAUAUCCCCUCCACAUCAUAUAGGUCAUCUCCGCAAUUAGGAAUACCCGAGGGCCAAGAACCGAUAUUCUCUAAUCCUCAUAAAAGAAAAGAAGUAGAGUUUGUUCACAAGGUUGGGUCGUGAUAUAUAGUUUGUGUGCCGGUAAAGAAAGCACUUGGCUUUAGAGCCCUAUCACGUAAGGGAGAAGACAGAAUGUGUGAAGCAUACAGUGAACUUCUCUCCUCUCUUACUCGAGCCAUCAGGCAAUGCGGGUCAAGCUGUCCAACUCUUGUUUGCAGACCGAUUGGCUUAUCUCUAAACCUGUUCCGGAUGUGCCUCCGCGCUGAAAGGGGCACUCAUUCCCAUUCCCGGGUUGCUGAAAGUGAGCUAAGCAGCAAGAAAGAGAUCUUUCCUAAGCUGCGUAGCAGAAAUGCUAGUCCCGAAAGGGUAGCUGACUCAACUAACUGCUAGUCUGACCUAGUCCCGGUGGGGGACGACUAGUUCAUUAGGCUUGGAAGAAAGAGUAUUUUCAAGAGCCCACUACGCUCCUAACCAGGACGAGAUUUCCGCCCUCAAAGGGGAAAUUCACGGAUUGAUUCAAGAGCAAGUACGUGUGGAAUCAGAAAAAGGAAUGGGUCCCCUGUCCAUUCUGUUUCCACAACAAAGACAGAUCAACUCCCAAACGGCCCACUAUAUUCUAAGGGAACUUGAACUGUCCACGGAGACUGAUACGGGCCUUCUUUUCUUCGGCAAUGGGCGCAAAAACUCAAAAGUGAUCCUAAAAAACUUAACUCACUAAUACGGGAUUACCUUCCCCCCCAAAAAAAAGUAUUCUAUUAGGAGUGAGUAGCGCCACCGAACAAGAGGACCUAGGAGGGAAGGAAAGGUAAAGCUGGCGGAGACCCUGGCUGAGUAAUUGACUGAGAAUGUAAGUCAGUGAGGUUCCUGGUAUAGUUCAGUGAGAAGAUCCUUGACUAUACCAGGAAGAAGACAGGCGGGGAUGAGCCGAACGAGAGCGAGGCUAGUCUCAGCGGGAGGGCUGUCGGUCUGGUCGUCCCCCAUCUAAGACUAAGACAUAGAAGGACGAAAAAGGGCUUUGAGAAGAAGCUCUUCCUUCUUCACUUCAGGAAGAGCGCCGACGGCAACAGCUAAUUCAGCUAAAUCAAUGGUACGUGGGAGCCUUCCUAAAAGAAAGAAAAGACUGACCUUGCUGCUUUCAUUUCAUAGCAGAAAAAGCGCUUUUUUAUUUUAGGGCAAGGGAUGGUGCGCGUUCAACAAACUGCGGUGAAACUUUAGGUCCUUUGUUUUAGUUUACAUGCGCCUGUGCGUGAUCCAGGGACGGAUAAAGAGAUCGAAAGAAGAAGCUUGUAUUCGAUGCCUGCUCAUAUGUCACUUCCGUCCCCCAAUCCCCUUCCCCUGUAGUUGGUUUGGUUGGAGCAGGAGUUAAGUAGCUUUCCUUGGGUCAGAUGUGGCAUUUCUUCUAUAAGAUAAGCGGAUAUUCCUCCAACUUGGGAUACCUUUAUACGCCUUAUAUACGCUAGCAAAUAUGUGCCUUGCCCUUCUUCCUUACCAUUCACUUGACCGUCAUUCCCUACCGCUACCAUCAGACCCAUAAGUGCCUAUCCUUGCUAUCCAGUCUCCUUCCCUAUCCGAUACGAUACAAGACAUAGCUACCCAUACGACAUAUCCGAUCCCACCGAGCAAACAAAGACGUCAGGCCUUUCUUUUGCUAUCCAAAGCGGCACGAAGCGGCUUCAACCCGAGGAUUACCGGCUUGCUUCCAUAGAUGAACGACCAGACUGGACUUGUUCUUGCCCGGGAGUAACUACGAACUGAACUCGAUACUAAAGCUGUUCAGGCUACUCAAGACUCAUCGCUAUCCUCACGAGAAAGAAAACGAAAGACCUAAAGACUCAAGACCUGCCCGGCUUCCCUUGCUCCCUAGCUCUUCCUUCCCUGACUUUCGGACUACUUUCUUGCUGGCUUGACGUCUUGACUUAGAGCUUUCACGUGGCAAUCGAGCUGCCAUUGAUGGAUAAAAUCCUGCUAUAACUAGAAAGAGGGAGUUGGCAGAGGUAGAAUCGGCAUCUGUCUCGCCUGCUGGAAAGCUUUACUUGGCUAUUGAAAUCAGCAGCAGAUAAAAUAAACUUAAUUAAGAAAAAUCCGUUCUUGGAAGAAUUUCUACUAGAAGGGAGGAGUUCCCAUACCCAGUAAAAUGAUUAAGGAGUUUUCCCUCCUCUAGCUCUAGGGGAAUGCUUUAAUAUAAUAAGCUUCUGUCGUUAGAACGAGAAUAGCUCAAGUGGAAUCUCUUUUGGGAGGGUUCCGGAAUUGAUAGAGUCAAGUCAUAUAUGGCAUUCAAAUCGCCAAAUCGUUAUCUUUGUCUAGAGUAAGUUGGUGUGAAUUCUACUACAGUAGAGGAUCUACAAUCAUUAGCUCUGGUUCACAGGCAAGGCUUACGUGAGGGGAUUGAGUUUAAGAUAUAGUUACAGCCUAUCAUACGGCUUAAUCAAGUAGGAGUUCUGUUAUAUCUCCUUCAUUGUGGUAGUUUUGAUACCAUUCCGUCCUACUUAUGUGAUGCUAUUCUUUUAUUCCUAAUCCAGCUCAUCCGAGUCCGAGUCCGAGUCCGAGUCCGAGUCCGAGUCCGAGUCUGAGGAAGGAUGAGGGCAUCUGGACUCAGUCUAGCAAUGGGAAGUUCUCAAUCUCUAGUGCUUGGAAUGAUGUCGCAUAUCAGCUG